Molecule: ribosomal RNA, 505 nt
Filed under: Trachelyopterus teaguei
Lineage: Eukaryota; Metazoa; Chordata; Actinopteri; Siluriformes; Auchenipteridae
Description: partial 16S ribosomal RNA
Rfam family: Bacterial large subunit ribosomal RNA
Source: RNAcentral
GUUAAACGGCCGCGGUAUUUUGACCGUGCAAAGGUAGCGCAAUCACUUGUCUUUUAAAUGAAGACCCGUAUGAAUGGUGAAACGAGGGCUUAACUGUCUCCCCUCUCAAGUCAAUGAAAUUGAUCUGCCCGUGCAGAAGCGGACAUAUAAAUACAAGACGAGAAGACCCUUUGGAGCUUAAGAUAUAAGAUCAACUAUGUCAAUAAGACCAAAAUCAAAUUAAACUAAAUAGCACCUGAUCCUCAUCUUCGGUUGGGGCGACCACGGAAGAAAACAAAGCUUCCAUGCGGACGGGGGCUUAAAUCCUAAAACCAAGAAAGACAUUUCUAAGUAACAGAACAUCUGACCACUAAGAUCCAGCAACCAAAGCCGAUCAGCGGACCAAGUUACCCUAGGGAUAACAGCGCAAUCCCCUUUAAGAGUCCAUAUCGACAAGGGGGUUUACGACCUCGAUGUUGGAUCAGGACAUCCUAAUGGUGCAGCCGCUAUUAAGGGUUCGUUUGUU